This 468-nucleotide ribosomal RNA is filed under the name uncultured bacterium. RNAcentral describes it as "partial 16S ribosomal RNA". It matches the Rfam family "Bacterial small subunit ribosomal RNA", at positions 28 to 507 of the family's 1533-position model. The record is from RNAcentral.
GACGAACGCUGGCGGCGUGCUUAACACAUGCAAGUCGAACGGAAAGGCCCUGCUUUUGUGGGGUGCUCGAGUGGCGAACGGGUGAGUAACACGUGAGUAACCUGCCCUUGACUUUGGGAUAACUUCAAGAAACUGGGGCUAAUACCGGAUAUGAGCUCCUGCUGCAUGGUGGGGGUUGGAAAGUUUCGGCGGUUGGGGAUGGACUCGCGGCUUAUCAGCUUGUUGGUGGGGUAGUGGCUUACCAAGGCUUUGACGGGUAGCCGGCCUGAGAGGGUGACCGGCCACAUUGGGACUGAGAUACGGCCCAGACUCCUACGGGAGGCAGCAGUGGGGAAUAUUGCACAAUGGGCGGAAGCCUGAUGCAGCAACGCCGCGUGCGGGAUGACGGCCUUCGGGUUGUAAACCGCUUUCGCCUGUGACGAAGCGUGAGUGACGGUAAUGGGUAAAGAAGCACCGGCUAACUACGUG